Molecule: long non-coding RNA, 562 nt
Filed under: Homo sapiens (human)
Lineage: Eukaryota; Metazoa; Chordata; Mammalia; Primates; Hominidae
Description: HSALNT0119432
Source: RNAcentral
AUUGUCGGCCAAGUGGAUCUCUCUCAGCACUGAGCUGUGCUAGCUUGAGGAGAGGUUGGCACAGGACUUGCCUCUCCAUGCUUAGACCUAGCAGAGAAAUCCUGAAGAUAUCCUGCUGAUUGAGUUUCACCCUUGUUGACCAGGCUGGAGUGGAAUGGAUGAUCUCGGCUCACUGCAACCUCUGCCUCCCGGGUUCAGGCAACUCUCCGGCCUCAACCUCCUGAGUAGCUGGGAUUACAGGUAUGCGCCUCCAUACCUGGCUAAUUUUGUAUUUUUAGUAGAGAUGGGAUUUCUCCAUGUUGGUCAGGCUGGUCUCAAACUCCCAACUUCAGGUGAUCCACCUGCCUCGGCCACCCAAAGUGCUGGGAUCACAGGUGUGAACCACCACGCCCGGCCAAUUCUGUAAUUCUUAAAAGCUGGUGUGUAGAAUGGGAACAUAGUGGGGUUUUCAUUACAAUAGUUUAACUUUCCCCAUAUUAGGAAUAUGUGUAUGGGUUCUAUUUUAUUCAUAUAAACCUUUAUUGUUUAAAAAACACAAAGAAAUAAAGAUUGAAAGAACAUU